ACCCCAUUAGAUUAGUGGUUAGAUCCUCUGACUCUAAAUCAGAUGACGUCGGUUCGAUUCCGACAUGGGGUA
RNAcentral lists this transfer RNA (72 nucleotides) under Caudoviricetes sp. RNAcentral's name for it is "tRNA-OTHER". It matches the Rfam family "tRNA". From Rfam's summary of the family: Transfer RNA (tRNA) molecules are approximately 80 nucleotides in length. Their secondary structure includes four short double-helical elements and three loops (D, anti-codon, and T loops). Further hydrogen bonds mediate the characteristic L-shaped molecular structure. tRNAs have two regions of fundamental functional importance: the anti-codon, which is responsible for specific mRNA codon recognition, and the 3' end, to which the tRNAs corresponding amino acid is attached (by aminoacyl-tRNA synthetases). tRNAs cope with the degeneracy of the genetic code in two manners: having more than one tRNA (with a specific anti-codon) for a particular amino acid; and 'wobble' base-pairing, i.e. permitting non-standard base-pairing at the 3rd anti-codon position. The record is from RNAcentral. Lineage: Duplodnaviria; Heunggongvirae; Uroviricota; Caudoviricetes.